Molecule: ribosomal RNA, 253 nt
Filed under: uncultured bacterium
Lineage: Bacteria
Also listed under: 2 other names
Description: partial 16S ribosomal RNA
Rfam family: Bacterial small subunit ribosomal RNA
Source: RNAcentral
UACGUAGGGGGCGAGCGUUGUCCGGAAUUAUUGGGCGUAAAGCGCGCGCAGGCGGUCUCUUAAGUCUGAUGUGAAAGCCCACGGCUCAACCGUGGAGGGUCAUUGGAAACUGGGGGACUUGAGGGCAGGAGAGGAGAGCGGAAUUCCACGUGUAGCGGUGAAAUGCGUAGAGAUGUGGAGGAACACCAGUGGCGAAGGCGGCUCUCUGGCCUGCACCUGACGCUGAGGCGCGAAAGCGUGGGGAGCAAACAGG